UACGGGGGGAGCAAGCGUUGUUCGGAUUUACUGGGCGUAAAGGGCGCGUAGGCGGCCAGCACAAGUCAGUUGUGAAAUCUCCGAGCUUAACUCGGAAAGGUCAACUGAUACUGUGCGGCUAGAGUGCGGAAGGGGCAACUGGAAUUCUUGGUGUAGCGGUGAAAUGCGUAGAUAUCGGGAGGAACACCAGUGGCGAAGGCGAGUCUCUGGGAUGAUGCUGACGCUGAGGCGCGAAAGCCAGGGGAGCAAACGGG
This 254-nucleotide ribosomal RNA is filed under the name uncultured bacterium. RNAcentral describes it as "partial 16S ribosomal RNA". It matches the Rfam family "Bacterial small subunit ribosomal RNA", at positions 524 to 776 of the family's 1533-position model. The record is from RNAcentral.